RNAcentral lists this long non-coding RNA (600 nucleotides) under Canis lupus familiaris (dog). RNAcentral describes it as "lncRNA (ENSCAFG00000051718.1, ENSCAFG00845014765.1)". Lineage: Eukaryota; Metazoa; Chordata; Mammalia; Carnivora; Canidae. The record is from RNAcentral.
AUCAAAUCAAGCCUUGAGGGGAAGUGCAGUUUGAUUGUAUUUUGAGAAACCAGAUUUGACAUGUUCAUCAGAUGCCUUUCUUUCCCUUCAUCAUACAGGCAUAUUCCAGAGAGGCUGGCCAGAGGGUUCAAAGGAUUUGGCCAUAUCCUGGCUCCCAAGUAGUGGCUGAUCACUGUGGAGAAGUGAUCAGCCCAUAUUGAUCUGGUGAUAGCCUAUACUGUCUAUACUGAUUGGUGCUAAAAUGCAUAGAAGCUUAUUAUAUUCUUGAAUGGAUGGAUUGGUUGAUACUAUUGGGGCAGAACUUCCCCUCCUCCACAGCAAGCGAGGCUGAUCUUCUCCCAAACAUUUCUCCUUAGGUGCGCUGUGGCGCCUUUGCGAUGAUGUAUUACAUUCUCUUGGGACUUUUUCCUGAUUUCAUCUGUGAGCAAAUACUAGCAGGUGAUGCAGAGCUGUGGAGUUAGAAAAGGCUCGAGAAGUUUUCCUGAGCAAGUUUGGGGAAAGAGCCCUGAUGACUGGAAGACCAAGGUGUCAGCAAUAAGACUGGGAGAUACCCAACUGAAGGAACCAUUCAACAUCGUCUGAUCAGCACUGUGAAUCAAG